Molecule: unclassified non-coding RNA, 1672 nt
Filed under: Ilyanassa obsoleta
Lineage: Eukaryota; Metazoa; Mollusca; Gastropoda; Neogastropoda; Nassariidae
Description: Tritia obsoleta partial localized RNA 3
Source: RNAcentral
CCCGCCUCCUGUCUCCGAACAGCGGAGCAGCUUAGCUCUUGUGAACACAGGCUAUUGGCUAUCGUGCAUUUAGCCCAUUCGUAGGUGAUAGGCUUAGGUGAACUUAAGGCCAAACCACCUUUUAAAGAAGUUUUCCCUCAUUUUUUUCCGGCGUCAACACAAGUUACAAUGGCUUCUUCUGGCGACGGAAGAAAAGAUCUUCCUUCUCUGAGCAAACAAAGCACAGAGGGGGGCAAAGAUAAAGGGAAGGACACAGGUAAAAACAAAGUCAACAACGCACCGUCCAAGCCGACGAGGCCAAUAUCCAUACCAUUGGUGAUGGUGUCUGCUGCAGACAGUACGUUCAUGACGCCCCAGACGAAUCCUGCUGGGCCACAUCGGAUGCAGCUCCGGCCCAGAGCCCCCUCUUCAGCCACGUUCGCUGCCGCCCCUGGGUCCUCGUCUUCCUUUCUGACAGUUCCUGUCAACACUGACAAGGGAACCCCUCCCAACACACCUGGUACCCCUCCGCCUUUCAGGAACCCUACGAAUCUCGGCGUCUCUGCUGCAAGCGAACCCGAGACUCAUGGCAAGUAUACUGACAGCAGUUCUCAGACAUUGGGCCUACCUGCUACUAGUGCUAGUGGCUCCAGACUCGCGGCAAGUCUGACUCCAAGACAUUGGGCCUACCUGCUACUAGUGCUAGCGGCUCCAAGACUCGCGGCAAGUCUGACUCCAAGACAUUGGGCCUACCUGCUACUAGUGCUAGCGGCUCCAAGACUUCCUCGUCUUGCUUUCUGACAGUUCCUGUCAACACUGACAAGGGAACCCCUCCCAACACACCUGGUAUUUAUCUGAAACUUUUUUUUUGGGGGGGUGAACAAGUCUUUUAUUUCUGUUUUUAAAUCGGCACAGGAGGCGCCUCUCGUUUGGGAAAAAAAGUAAUUAGCACGUGAUUUCAUCAGUAUUUUAUUUCAGCUCUUUCACACCAUAAUCACAUUCCUUAUAAGGCAACUUUCUGGUAGAUUUUUUUUUCUUCUCAUUAAUAUUCCUUUUCUAACAUUUUGUAAUUUGUUUUGUAAGAAUGUAUACUUUUCAUCUGUGCACAAGUGCUGUGUACAUUGCACCUAAGGAUACACUCUUAUGUAUAUGUGCUUCAAUUCCCAAAUGUCCAUUUGUGUGAUUCUUUGGGACUUUUUUUUUUGUCGAUCCCUGGUCCAAGAACGGAAGAGGUGUAAGCGUGAAAUGCGCCAAAUCUUUUUUUGUACCGUGUACAGUUGAACAUGGUGUGGUAUUUUAUGUGAACCUUCUUACCUUUAACUUGACAAUAAUGGAGAGAGAAAACAGCAACGCGUCAAAAUCUGAUGACUAUAAUCAUUAUGCAUGCUGUUGUGUGUGUGUGUGUGUCUUUGUUCGUGUGUUUCACAUGUCUGCCCUGUACAUUAACAAGUAAUUGAACUGAUUGCGUCUUGAUCGUUGGNAUUGAUGUGAAAAACCUACAUAUAAACACAUGACUAGGAGUGUGAGAAAUAACAUGAAGUGAAGAACAACAUUCUGAAGUGGUGUAUAUUAAAAAAAAAUAAUAAUAAUUAAAUGUCCUUUUAUGCAUACAAGAUGUUUUCGCUCUUAUAUCAGUUAAAGCGAACAGGUUCUAUGUACCUCAGCUUAAAAGUCAGUAAAGUCGUUUUAAUAC